This 253-nucleotide ribosomal RNA is filed under the name uncultured bacterium. Its description in RNAcentral is "partial 16S ribosomal RNA". It matches the Rfam family "Bacterial small subunit ribosomal RNA", at positions 524 to 776 of the family's 1533-position model. The record is from RNAcentral.
UACGUAGGGUGCAAGCGUUGUCCGGAAUUAUUGGGCGUAAAGAGCUCGUAGGCGGUCUGUCGCGUCGAAUGUGAAAACCCGGGGCUCAACUCCGGGCUUGCAUUCGAUACGGGCAGGCUAGAGUUCGGUAGGGGAGUCUGGAAUUCCUGGUGUAGUGGUGAAAUGCGUAGAGAUCAGGAGGAACACCGGUGGCGAAGGCGGCCUACUGGGCCAGCACUGACGCUGAGGCGCGAAAGCUCGGGGAGCGAACGGG